AGGGCGCACGGUGGAUGCCUUGGCACUAGAAGCCGAAGAAGGACGUGACUAACGACGAAAUGCUUUGGGGAGCUGUAAGUAAGCGCUGAUCCAGAGAUGUCCGAAUGGGGGAACCCACUAGUUAAUGACUAGUAUCCAUAUCUGUUAAGGAUAUGAGAAGGAAGACGCAGUGAACUGAAACAUCUAAGUAGCUGCAGGAAGAGAAAGCAAAAGCGAUUGCCUUAGUAGCGGCGAGCGAAACGGCAGGAGGGCAAACCGAAGUGUAAACACUUCGGGGUUGUAGGACUGCGAUAUAGGAUUAAUCAUUAUAGAAGAAUUACCUGGGAAGGUAAGCCAAAGAGAGUAACAGCCUCGUAUUUAAAAUGAUAGAUUAACCUUAGCAGUAUCCUGAGUACGGCGAGACACGCGAAAUCUCGUCGGAAUCUGGGAGGACCAUCUCCCAACCCUAAAUACUCUCUAGUGACCGAUAGUGAACCAGUACCGUGAGGGAAAGGUGAAAAGCACCCCGGGAGGGGAGUGAAAUAGAACCUGAAACCGUGUGCCUACAACAAGUUCGAGCCCGUUAAUGGGUGAGAGCGUGCCUUUUGUAGAAUGAACCGGCGAGUUACGAUAUGAUGCGAGGUUAAGUUGAAGAGACGGAGCCGUAGGGAAACCGAGUCUUAAUAGGGCGCCAUAGUAUCAUGUUGUAGACCCGAAACCAUGUGACCUACCCAUGAGCAGGUUGAAGGUGAGGUAAAACUCACUGGAGGACCGAACCAGGGCACGUUGAAAAGUGCUUGGAUGACUUGUGGGUAGCGGAGAAAUUCCAAACGAACUUGGAGAUAGCUGGUUCUCUCCGAAAUAGCUUUAGGGCUAGCGUCGAUGUUAAGUCUCUUGGAGGUAGAGCACUGUUUGGGUGAGGGGUCCAUCCCGGAUUACCAAUCUCAGAUAAACUCCGAAUGCCAACGAGAUAUAAUCGGCAGUCAGACUGCGAGUGCUAAGAUCCGUAGUCGAAAGGGAAACAGCCCAGACCACCAGCUAAGGUCCCAAAAUAUAUGUUAAGUGGAAAAGGAUGUGGGGUUGCACAGACAACUAGGAUGUUAGCUUAGAAGCAGCUAUUCAUUCAAAGAGUGCGUAAUAGCUCACUAGUCGAGUGACCCUGCGCCGAAAAUGUACCGGGGCUAAAACAUAUUACCGAAGCUGUGGAUGACACAAAAGUGUCAUGGUAGGAGAGCGUUCUAUGUGUGAAGAAGGUGUACCGUGAGGAGCGCUGGAACGCAUAGAAGUGAGAAUGCCGGUAUGAGUAGCGCAAGACAGGUGAGAAUCCUGUCCACCGUAAGACUAAGGUUUCCAGGGGAAGGCUCGUCCGCCCUGGGUUAGUCGGGACCUAAGGAGAGACCGAAAGGUGUAUCCGAUGGACAACAGGUUGAUAUUCCUGUACUAGAGUAUAUAGUGAUGGAGGGACGCAGUAGGCUAACUAAACCAGACGAUUGGAAGUGUCUGGUCAAACAGUGAGGUGUGAUAUGAGUCAAAUGCUUAUAUCUUUAACAUUGAGCUGUGACGAGGAGCGAAGUUUAGUAGCGAAGUUAGUGAUGUCACACUGCCAAGAAAAGCUUCUAGCGAUACAUAUACUCUACCCGUACCGCAAACCGACACAGGUAGUCGAGGCGAGUAGCCUCAGGUGAGCGAGAGAACUCUCGUUAAGGAACUCGGCAAAAUGGCCCCGUAACUUCGGGAGAAGGGGCGCUGAUUUUAGAUCAGCCGCAGUGAAUAGGCCCAAGCAACUGUUUAUCAAAAACACAGCUCUCUGCUAAAUCGUAAGAUGAUGUAUAGGGGGUGACGCCUGCCCGGUGCUGGAAGGUUAAGAGGAGUGCUUAGCGUAAGCGAAGGUAUGAAUUGAAGCCCCAGUAAACGGCGGCCGUAACUAUAACGGUCCUAAGGUAGCGAAAUUCCUUGUCGGGUAAGUUCCGACCCGCACGAAAGGCGUAAUGAUUUGGGCACUGUCUCAACGAGAGACUCGGUGAAAUUUUAGUACCUGUGAAGAUGCAGGUUACCCGCGACAGGACGGAAAGACCCCAUGGAGCUUUACUGCAGUUUGAUAUUGAGUAUCUGUACCACAUGUACAGGAUAGGUAGGAGCCUAUGAUAACGGGACGCCAGUUUCGUUUGAGGCGUUGUUGGGAUACUACCCUUGUGUUAUGGCUACUCUAACCCAGAUAGGCAAUCCCUAUCGGAGACAGUGUCUGACGGGCAGUUUGACUGGGGCGGUCGCCUCCUAAAAGGUAACGGAGGCGCCCAAAGGUUCCCUCAGACUGGUUGGAAAUCAGUCGUAGAGUGUAAAGGUAUAAGGGAGCUUGACUGCGAGAGCUACAACUCGAGCAGGGACGAAAGUCGGGCUUAGUGAUCCGGUGGUUCCGUAUGGAAGGGCCAUAAGUGAUAAUUGCCUAGGAGAUACACCUGUUCUCAUGCCGAACACAGAAGUUAAGCCUUAGAACGCCGGAAGUAGUUGGGGGUUGCCCCCUGUGAGAUAAGGUAGUCGCUUAGCAAAGGGAGUUUAGCUCAGCUGGGAGAGCAUCUGCCUUACAAGCAGAGGGUCAGCGGUUCGAUCCCGUUAACUCCCAUAGGUCCCGUAGUGUAGCGGUUAUCACGUCGCCCUGUCACGGCGAAGAUCGCGGGUUCGAUUCCCGUCGGGACCGUAGACUCGUUAGCUCAGUUGGUAGAGCAAUUGACUUUUAAUCAAUGGGUCACUGGUUCGAGCCCAGUACGGGUCAUUUAGAAAUGCGGGUGUGGCGGAAUUGGCAGACGCACCAGAUUUAGGAUCUGGCGCUUAACGGCGUGGGGGUUCAAGUCCCUUCACCCGCAUUAGUAGAUUGCCGGCUUAGCUCAGUUGGUAGAGCAUCUGAUUUGUAAUCAGAGGGUCGCGUGU
RNAcentral lists this ribosomal RNA (2904 nucleotides) under Streptococcus agalactiae. The record is from RNAcentral. Lineage: Bacteria; Bacillati; Bacillota; Bacilli; Lactobacillales; Streptococcaceae.